GGGGUUUCAGGCACAUGCAAUGCUCGUGAGUGAUCAGGAGUAGAGCCAGGAUCUACCCCUUCCUGGACUUCAUUUAAGGGUUGGCAGUGGAGGUGUUUCUUGCUGUCAAUCCCUGCCUACUUGUGGUCUCACAAAGAAUGUACACCAGGAUUAUGCAUUCCAUCUGAUUACAAAUACAGGAACCAUGUUGUCUGUGCUCAGGACAGUAUGUGUGUGCCAUUCACUACUCGGGACCCACAGCUGUUCUCAUGUCAUCUCAGAAGUCUCUGCUGCUUCAAAACAAUGACCUGGCCAUGAGAGCACUCUUACAAACGUACCGAUAUAUCAGAGAUAACCAGGUUGGGAAUGACCUCUCUUCACUAUUAUCUAAAAUGUACUAAAUUCACAUGAAAUGACCCGAAUCUGAAAGCAGUUCAGAAACAAAUAACAUGACAAAGGAUGUAAAUAAUGAUGUAAAUGACAAGUUAUUUAUGCUGCGGAGGCCUCUGAAGCAAGAUGAGGUGGAUGCUGAGAGAUUACAAGGACCCAAGAGAACCUGGACAAGUUUGAACUAAAACGUUCCCCUGAAUUGCAGAACUCUGGAGAAAAGGAAAUCAGGGACAGAUUCAACAUUUAGAAGAGAUGCUGUCAUAACAGAAGCUAAGCCAUUUUGUCCUUGAUUUGAGGUGGGGAAAAAAGAAAGCCAACAAAUUAGAAAGCA
Molecule: non-coding RNA, 700 nt
Organism: Meleagris gallopavo (turkey)
Lineage: Eukaryota; Metazoa; Chordata; Aves; Galliformes; Phasianidae
Source: RefSeq, a predicted model, not a curated record